This 803-nucleotide ribosomal RNA is filed under the name uncultured Pelagibacteraceae bacterium. Its description in RNAcentral is "bacterial SSU rRNA". It matches the Rfam family "Bacterial small subunit ribosomal RNA", at positions 36 to 887 of the family's 1533-position model. Lineage: Bacteria; Pseudomonadati; Pseudomonadota; Alphaproteobacteria; Candidatus Pelagibacterales; Candidatus Pelagibacteraceae. The record is from RNAcentral.
CUGGCGGCACGCCUAACACAUGCAAGUCGAACGAAGUAGCAAUACUUAGUGGCAGACGGGUGAGUAACAUGUAGGUAUCUUCCCUUUGGCCUGGAAUAACACGAGGAAACUUGUGCUAAUACUGGAUAAGUCUUUACGGAGAAAGCUUUAUGCACCAUUGGAUGAGCCUGCACUUGAUUAGUUUGUUGGUGGGGUAAUGGCCUACCAAGACUGUGAUCAAUAGCUGAUUUGAGAGGAUGAUCAGCCACAUUGGGACUGAGACACGGCCCAAACUCCUACGGGAGGCAGCAGUGGGGAAUCUUGCACAAUGGAGGAAACUCUGAUGCAGCGAUGCCGCGUGAGUGAAGAAGGCCCUUGGGUUGUAAAGCUCUUUCGUCGGGGAAGAAAAUGACUGUACCCGAAUAAGAAGGUCCGGCUAACUUCGUGCCAGCAGCCGCGGUAAUACGAAGGGACCUAGCGUAGUUCGGAAUUACUGGGCUUAAAGAGUUCGUAGGUGGUUGAAAAAGUUGGUGGUGAAAUCCCAGAGCUUAACUCUGGAACUGCCAUCAAAACUUUUCAGCUAGAGUUUGAUAGAGGAAAGCAGAAUUUCUAGUGUAGAGGUGAAAUUCGUAGAUAUUAGAAAGAAUACCAAUUGCGAAGGCAGCUUUCUGGAUCAUUACUGACACUGAGGAACGAAAGCAUGGGUAGCGAAGAGGAUUAGAUACCCUCGUAGUCCAUGCCGUAAACGAUGUGUGUUAGACGUUGGAAAUUUAUUUUCAGUGUCGCAGCGAAAGCGAUAAACACACCGCCUGGGGAGUACGACC